Long non-coding RNA from Raphanus sativus (radish), 2820 nucleotides. RefSeq lists it as uncharacterized. The transcript is spliced from 4 exons. The record is from RefSeq and is a predicted model, not a curated record. Lineage: Eukaryota; Viridiplantae; Streptophyta; Magnoliopsida; Brassicales; Brassicaceae.
UUCAGACAGAGAAGAUAUCGGUCAAAUAACCUGGUUUUGAUCGCAAGUGAACUACUGAAACUCCAAGCAACCGGUCUAUCUCAUCAUGCUGAUAAGGCACAGUGGAAAGGCAGGGGAGAUGCUUACAAGACUGUUUUCAGCUCUACUCAGACUUGGGAGUUAAUAAGAGAGGUGAGUCCGACAGUAACAUGGAGCAAAGGGAUUUGGUUUACACUAGCUACACCUAAAUACUCUGUGGUUGCGUGGAUUGCUGUCCAUAAUAGAUUGGCAACAGGAGACAGGAUUCAAAUCUGGAACCCACUUGCAGAUGCAACUUGCACUCUCUGCAAACUUCAGAAUGAGACAAGAAAUCACUUGUUCUUCACAUGCUCCUAUUCUAUGCUAAUAUGGAGGACGCUCACAAUGAAGUUGAUGGGGAACCGAUACUCCAGUAACUGGGAUGAUACUUUACAUAGUCUUACGGACACAACAUUGGACUGCAAUACUCUGCUCUUGCUACGGUCCGCUUUCCAGGCUGCUAUCCACUCAAUAUGGAGAGAGAAACGCUCGUCGUCACGGUGAGCCUUCUACAGAUCAGUUACUGCUAGCAAGGUACAUCGACAAACACAUCCGGAGCCGUAUUGAUUCCAUGCGUGGGAAACUACACAAGAAAUAUGACAAGGCUAUGCAGCUAUGGUUUGCAUCAAGAUGAUUCUUCUCUAGCAAAGUAGAAUAUUAGGCUUACAAAAACUCAAAAACAGCUGCAUUCAUUGUAAAAACGUUUUUUUUUGUUUUGAUUCCAAUUUAACAUUCAUUCAAAAAAAAAAAGACAAAGAUCCCUGUGAAUGCAGAUGCUUCUUGCCCUCCUGGAUGAAGCCAAUACUGGUUUAACCAUCGGAGAUGGAGGUGAUGACUCAGAGUCUGAAGAUAACAAAUACAGUAGAAAUAGCCGAUCCUCUGCUCUUGAGCUUCUCAAGGAUGAAAACGAUGGCCUUAGUUAAAAUUCAGGGGCUAUGUGGCUGAGCUUUUAGUCAAUUUCAUGUUGCACGAAAGACACAGUACAUUCCCCUGCACUAAAUUCAGCGUUACAGGCUGCUGCAAGUGGUCCUCGGUCAGAGAGGAUGAAGCAGACACUUAAGAUAGCUCUUCGGCUUCUUGAUGUCUACGUUAGUGUUACGUUGCGAGAUGCAAAUGACUGUAAGAUUGUUUACAGCCUUCCUAGUGUUCUUAAGCUGCUAAAAUAGGAUAAGUCAGUCACCAACGCAGUUCGACCUUUAACCACUGUUGAGUCUGUUCAUGCUUAAAUUUCUUUUUUUCAAUGUUUAUCUUUUGGCAGCUCUGAUAUGUGCAUUAAUCCCUCUACUCAUGAGAAGAAACUCUACAAUGUUUCAGGAUAAGAACUUUUCUCAUGAGGUAACAUGCAGCUUUUGUUUUGUAUAAUAUGAUCUCCUUUUCUAAAUUUUUGUUUUGCGUAGGAUUAGGAGUGGCAGACCCACUUGAUGACUUAUGGGGUCAGUCGACACCACAAAAAUUUAAUUUGUUGGCUAUGAUCAUUUGUGGUGUAGUUGGUUUGAUACUGCAGUAGUGAACCCACAAAAGUGGGGUUUGGGUGUCUUCAGUGACAUCUUAGAACUUUUUUGACCCCACAUAAUUUUUUUCUUGGGACAUGCUACAUGACAAUGUCUCUUAAUAAUCUCCUCUGGAUCUGAAUGGAUCUUCUAUUGAUAUUCAACUGUUUUCAGAUAUCCCAAGGCUAUUUUGACCUUUUGGUGUAUGGACUGCGUACCUAUAUUACCGCCAUAUUGAGCCUUAUCUAACAGAGAUACGGUAUGUUUAUGCAGAUUCGUUGGAGGGCUACUGGAGUUCUUGCUAGCAGCAUUUCAGAGGUCUCCGAAUUUCAUUCCGCUGUUGAAACUAAUGUCUUUGUUUUGUUUCCAUUACUUGGUUUGUGCUGGUAUCAGCAUUAUAAUUUUGAAUAAGAAGAUUUGACGCUGCAUUGGUUGAUAUGCUGAGUCAAAAAUCAGUCUAUCUAUCUUCAUGAUAGAAGCCUAUAAUUGACACGCCUGGAGAAGCUAGCGAUGACCCUGCUAAGAGAGCUAGCUUUACAGCUAUGUUGGACAACUGGAGAGUAUGGUGGUGAGGGAGAAUCAUAAAAGGAUGCUGCUCGCGAGCUCUUUGAAAGCUUAGAGUUGAUUUCUAUAUGAGAAUCUCUCACUCAUCAAGGUAUUAUUAACUUCUUUUGUUACUUAUCACCCUGCCUUUCUCGGCAAGAAAACAAAAAUUGGUACUUACAACAACACAUCUCAUUGCACAUUCUAACUGAACAAGGAGGUUAAAGAGUUAUUCUAUUAAUCUACUCUCUUAACACUUAAUUGAUUCAACUUGACUUAGAUGAUAAUCUUGUGACCAAAAAAAAGAUUUAGAUGAUGAUGUUGCUUGCAAGAGAUUAUCCAUAUUUGGACUUAUCUCUCCCGGUUAGACCCGGUUUCGUGUAUACAACUGCAGAUACAUGUACCAAAAGAUGUAGGUAGAGUUAUUUGUGAGGGAGCAUAGAGGUGAAAAACUGGUAGAGAGGGGAGAAAGAUUGCAUACAAAGAAAGUAAAGAUGGGAAUAUGAUUUGAUGUAAAGCCUGUGAGGACGUUUCCUUGUGACAGACACGACGCGUCUAUAUCCGGUCCAUUCGUUUCUUCUUUGGACAUUGAUGGAUGGAUGUGAUUGCUUCUUAUUGAUUUGAUGCAUCCAUAUGGUCUUCCUUUUUCUUUUACGCGUCUUUUUUUCUUGUUCCUUGUAAUAAAGCCUUAACGCGUAUUGAAUUUUUCGUAACAAGAAUCUUAUUCACA